Xenia sp. Carnegie-2017 is the source of this 112-nucleotide long non-coding RNA. RefSeq lists it as uncharacterized. The transcript is spliced from 3 exons. The record is from RefSeq and is a predicted model, not a curated record. NCBI's taxonomy places the organism in Eukaryota, Metazoa, Cnidaria, Anthozoa, Malacalcyonacea, Xeniidae.
UGGCAUCAACGCAGAGUAGAAGAAGUCAUAAAAUCCUUCUUUGAUAGUUUACAAGACAUGACUCCGAUAGUAAAUGGGCUAGAACUUAUCAAGUACACUUGCAAUGAUUGGA